UGAUUAUAAACCUUUGCAGUUUUUGGCUUUUGCAUUUGUAUAUCGAAUUUUUGAAAAGUUAAAAGCCUUCGAACCACCUGUAUCACCAACAUAUACAGAAGAUGGUGAAGAUGAUGGGCGGGCACUACGAAUGGGAAAACGACUUCUUCGUUCUCUUGCACUAGUUUUUGGCUGUAUUGCUUUUGCCUCUCUGGCAUACACUGGUAUUUUGAAUUUGAUCGAGUUUCUUGGCAGCUAUAUACCUGUUUUCCUUUACAACAAUCAGGAACUGUUAGUCAC
Molecule: unclassified non-coding RNA, 279 nt
Filed under: Hevea brasiliensis (rubber tree)
Lineage: Eukaryota; Viridiplantae; Streptophyta; Magnoliopsida; Malpighiales; Euphorbiaceae
Source: RNAcentral